This 209-nucleotide unclassified non-coding RNA is filed under the name Glomeraceae sp. RNAcentral describes it as "partial contains 5.8S ribosomal RNA and internal transcribed spacer 2". The stretch from base 1 to 71 matches the Rfam family "5.8S ribosomal RNA", at positions 84 to 154 of the family's 154-position model. Lineage: Eukaryota; Fungi; Glomeromycota; Glomeromycetes; Glomerales; Glomeraceae. The record is from RNAcentral.
GUGAAUCAUCGAAUCUUUGAACGCAAAUUGCGCUUCCUGGUAUCCCGGGAAGUAUGCCUGUUUGAGGGUCAGUAUUAACAAAAAAUCGGUAUGGUUGCAACUUGUGACGUUUCCGGUGGUUGGGCUUAUCUUUACUUUUUUGGUUAAGGGGCUUACAAUUAACCUUUUUUGCGCAUUUUUAGUCGUACCUAAUUUUUUUUUUAUUCGUC